Molecule: long non-coding RNA, 749 nt
Organism: Vicia villosa (hairy vetch)
Lineage: Eukaryota; Viridiplantae; Streptophyta; Magnoliopsida; Fabales; Fabaceae
Exons: 6
Source: RefSeq, a predicted model, not a curated record
GUCUCAGAUAUUUGGCCCAAAUGAAAUCCAUAUAGAUAUUUCAGAGGAUUAGGGUUUCUUAUUCUCUCACUUCUUCUUUGAGUUUCCGCCGCUUCCUUGUUUUCAUCAUCUGUGAGUUAGGGUUUCAGCCGCCGCCGUUAUGCUAUGAACAUCUAUCUCUUAUCGUUCCAUAUUUUUGUCUUACCAUGAUGACGACUUCCAAAGACAGCUAUCAUCAUACAGGAUUCAGGAGGAUCAGUCGUUUAGUUGCGAGAGUUCCUCUUCAAAGAAACGAUGUUGAACUCGUUUCCAUCAACAAUCCUUUCAUCACUACUGAUUACACUGACAUAUAUGUUCAAGUUUUAUUCUGUUCAUGACUAGUGGAAGCAUUUUAAACUUAAGGAACCCUGGAGAGAUCCCAUGGAUGAAGUUGGAGCUGCUUUUGUUGUUGAGUUUACUGGUGUUUUCACUGAUAAAGAUAAAGCUGCUGCCCACUUGAAGGGUGUUGCCAAGAAAAUUGUUAUUCAACAUCAUUCCAGCAGCACAAGAUGCCAAGCAGGAAUUAACCAACUAUACUGGUGUAGAAAUUACAAAGGAAGUUAAUAUUCUGUUUAUAUCACAGGGGCUGGAAGAUAGCAGUAAAGAGGAUUUUUGUUCACUAUGUUAUGAAAUUUAAAUGCAUUUAUGAAUUUAUUAUUGGCUAUUUAAAACUGCAUUUAUGGAUUUGUAAUGCAUUUUUGUUGAAUGUUAAUGUGUUGAAUGUUACUGCA